This is a non-coding RNA of Schizosaccharomyces pombe (fission yeast), 283 nucleotides long. The record is from the annotation of a GenBank genome assembly. NCBI's taxonomy places the organism in Eukaryota, Fungi, Ascomycota, Schizosaccharomycetes, Schizosaccharomycetales, Schizosaccharomycetaceae.
UUACGCUCACUAUGACAAUGCUCAAUGGCACGCUGUAUAACUCGACAACCGUAUGGAUGGGCGGAAAGGACAUGAAUUUGUGGGCGCAAAGCUCUAAGAAUGAACUGUAAGUGUCCAGUAUCAAUGCAUUCGAUAGCUUUUUGAAUAACAUGAUUUCCAUUCUGGUCACAUACACAAUCUAGGACGUGACCAUCUAAUUCCUGAAUAAGUUGAACUUGGUGCUCAGGAGAAAUAUAUUCAAUAGCUUUUUGAACAACUCGGCAACCAUACAUUUGCAAAGAUA